This 465-nucleotide ribosomal RNA is filed under the name Vreelandella stevensii. Its description in RNAcentral is "partial 16S ribosomal RNA". It matches the Rfam family "Bacterial small subunit ribosomal RNA", at positions 338 to 795 of the family's 1533-position model. Lineage: Bacteria; Pseudomonadati; Pseudomonadota; Gammaproteobacteria; Oceanospirillales; Halomonadaceae. The record is from RNAcentral.
CCUACGGGGGGCAGCAGUGGGGAAUAUUGGACAAUGGGGGCAACCCUGAUCCAGCCAUGCCGCGUGUGUGAAGAAGGCCCUCGGGUUGUAAAGCACUUUCAGUGAGGAAGAACGCCUGGUGGUUAAUACCCAUCAGGAAAGACAUCACUCACAGAAGAAGCACCGGCUAACUCCGUGCCAGCAGCCGCGGUAAUACGGAGGGUGCGAGCGUUAAUCGGAAUUACUGGGCGUAAAGCGCGCGUAGGUGGCUUGAUAAGCCGGUUGUGAAAGCCCCGGGCUCAACCUGGGAACGGCAUCCGGAACUGUCAAGCUAGAGUGCAGGAGAGGAAGGUAGAAUUCCCGGUGUAGCGGUGAAAUGCGUAGAGAUCGGAAGGAAUACCAGUGGCGAAGGCGGCCUUCUGGACUGACACUGACACUGAGGUGCGAAAGCGUGGGUAGCAAACAGGAUUAGAUACCCUAGUAGUC